AGUGAACGCUGGCGGUAGGCCUAACACAUGCAAGUCGAACGGCAGCACAGUAAGAGCUUGCUCUUACGGGUGGCGAGUGGCGGACGGGCGAGGAAUACAUCGGAAUCUACUUUUUCGUGGGGGAUAACGUAGGGAAACUUACGCUAAUACCGCAUACGACCUACGGGUGAAAGCAGGGGAUCUUCGGAACUUGCGCGAUUGAAUGAGCCGAUGUCGGAUUAGCUAGUUGGCGGGGUAAAGGCCCACCAAGGCGACGAUCCGUAGCUGGUCUGAGAGGAUGAUCGGCCACACUGUAACUGAGACACGGUCCAGACUCCUACGGGAGGCAGCAGUGGGGAAUAUUGGACAAUGGGCGCAAGCCUGAGCCAGCCAUACCGCGUGGGUGAAGAAGGCCUUCGGGUUGUAAAGCCCUUUUGUUGUGAAAGAAAAGCAGCAGGUUAAUACCCCGCUGUUCUGACGGUACCCAAAGAAUAAGCACCGGCUAACUUCGUG
RNAcentral lists this ribosomal RNA (492 nucleotides) under uncultured bacterium. Its description in RNAcentral is "partial 16S ribosomal RNA". It matches the Rfam family "Bacterial small subunit ribosomal RNA", at positions 29 to 507 of the family's 1533-position model. The record is from RNAcentral.